Chlorocebus sabaeus (green monkey) is the source of this 707-nucleotide long non-coding RNA. RefSeq lists it as uncharacterized. Lineage: Eukaryota; Metazoa; Chordata; Mammalia; Primates; Cercopithecidae. The record is from RefSeq and is a predicted model, not a curated record.
UAGUCCUUGUGCAGACCUGGCACGGGAGAUAAAGCAAGGUCAGGGCCUCCUUCCAGCCAGCCAGGACCCACGCGCGCUGCGGGGCACCGGGCCUGAUCCGGGGACGCCCCCUCUGGGAGAGGGCAGGGGCUCCCAAAGGGUUAAAGGCUCCAGCCCCCGCCACUCCUCGGCUGCCACCUGGUCGGCUCCGUGCGGUGCGCCAGGCCUAGCCAAGAGCCAGGCAAAGCGAAACCAAGCCCUGGAAGCAGAUCCGGUGCGGGUGACAGCCGGCGCCACCCCCGCCCCCAUCCCUGUGAAAAACAGGCGACUGCGCGGCGAGGGGUCCCCGAACCCUCAAUCCCGCCUGGUGGCUUGCCUGGGUUCCCUCCUUCCCUGGCCCACCUGCGCUGCUCUGGGAGCUGAGGUCUACGCGGUCCCGCUGCGGAGCAGGCGGUCAACAAUUUUGGAAGCCACAUAUUGAAGCUGGAGGAGCUCCAAGGUAGAAGGAGCCUGAGUUCCUGAAUUACUACUUAGAACUUCCCUUUAAGUAGAAACACUCAUGUAUGGGAGCAAGAGGUAACUCCUUUCACUCCUCCAUCCCUACCCUGCCUACAUGACAACUGAUCGCAAAGGCGAAGUAGAAAAGCCACUGGACUCCUGCAGCCUGGAAGCUUAAUGGUUCACACAGAAAGUAUCAGAAGUCUGUUCUUCUGUUCAAGGCGUGAUUC